AUACGUAGGGGGCGAGCGUUGUCCGGAAUUACUGGGCGUAAAGCGCGCGCAGGCGGUCCUCUAAGUCUGAUGUGAAAGCCCCCGGCUUAACCGGGGAGGGUCAUUGGAAACUGGAGGACUUGAGUGCAGGAGAGGAGAGUGGAAUUCCCGGUGUAGCGGUGAAAUGCGUAGAGAUCGGGAGGAACACCAGUGGCGAAGGCGGCUCUCUGGCCUGUAACUGACGCUGAGGCGCGAAAGCGUGGGGAGCAAACAGGAUUAGAUACCCUGGUAGUCCACGCCGUAAACGAUGAGUGCUAGGUGUUGGGGGGAGUAAUCUCCUCAGUGCUGAAGUUAACACAUUAAGCACUCCGCCUGGGGAGUACGGCCGCAAGGCUGAA
RNAcentral lists this ribosomal RNA (377 nucleotides) under uncultured bacterium. RNAcentral's name for it is "bacterial SSU rRNA". It matches the Rfam family "Bacterial small subunit ribosomal RNA", at positions 523 to 898 of the family's 1533-position model. The record is from RNAcentral.